Gossypium arboreum is the source of this 732-nucleotide long non-coding RNA. RefSeq lists it as uncharacterized. The transcript has 2 exons. NCBI's taxonomy places the organism in Eukaryota, Viridiplantae, Streptophyta, Magnoliopsida, Malvales, Malvaceae. The record is from RefSeq and is a predicted model, not a curated record.
GUAUUUGGUACAUUGAACAUUCAAUUUUCUUAAAGAAAAUUGACUGGAUUUUAUAAGACAAAAAUAACUGGAAAAAAAACACAAAAGUGACAACUCACAAAACAAACACUGGCCACAAAAACCCAAUCCAAAGAAAAUCAGAAAAACAAAAUCCAAAAGAUAACGAAGCCCAUAAAAAACACAAAAAAAUAAAACGAAACGCGCAAAGACAUUUCCCCAGUCUGCAAAGUAGCUGGCACCCACUCCUUAGAAAAUAUCCAAACCCUCAAAACUUGUCGGUACUAGUUUCCAAAACCAGCAGCCUUCCAAAAUCAAAACCAUUUACUGCCCAUUCCUCUCCCCAAAGCCUAUCUCUUCCUCUUCUGUCAAUCCGGUUGCCUCCUCCUCCUCCUCCUCCUCCUCCAUAAUCCAUCAUCGACGACCACCAACACACUUCCAAUUAGAGGCCCAGAUAGGUUCCCAAAAGCAACGCCUGAAGGCAAGCAUAUCCUUCCGCUACAAACGGCAAUGCGAUCUCCUUGUGCAAUGUCUAUUUUGAAGCCAAAAUCUCACCUUGAGAGUUACGAACAACCAUUCUCGAUCCAAAUUUCGCCAAACUUUGAUUAUAAGCCGCAUCAAAAUUAACCGACAAGUAAAUGUUGGAAAGCUUUGACUAUUUCAUUUUAUAAUAUUAUAUUUAGAAAUCACUGUACAUAUAAUAUAAAUGGAGAAAAUAAAUAUUUGACGUGUAAA